RNAcentral lists this ribosomal RNA (253 nucleotides) under uncultured bacterium. Its description in RNAcentral is "partial 16S ribosomal RNA". It matches the Rfam family "Bacterial small subunit ribosomal RNA", at positions 524 to 776 of the family's 1533-position model. The record is from RNAcentral.
UACAGAGGGCUCGAGCGUUAGGCGGAAUCACUGGGCUUAAAGCGUGUGUAGGCGGAUCUGUAAGUACCUUGUGAAAUCCCACGGCUCAACCGUGGAACUGCUUGGUAUACUGCGGGUCUUGAGCCACCUAGGGGCAAGUGGAACAAACGGUGGAGCGGUGAAAUGCGUAGAUAUCAUUUGGAACGCCAACGGCGAAAGCAGGCAGCUGGGGAUGCACCGACGCUGAGACACGAAAGCCAGGGGAGCGAACGGG